Long non-coding RNA from Perca fluviatilis (European perch), 1847 nucleotides. RefSeq lists it as uncharacterized. Lineage: Eukaryota; Metazoa; Chordata; Actinopteri; Perciformes; Percidae. The record is from RefSeq and is a predicted model, not a curated record. The transcript is spliced from 3 exons.
CAGUUUCUAGAAGAGGAAGAGGAGGCCAGGGAUGGCUGCACUGUGGGAGGAACAGAAGCAGAAGAGUCAGAGGAUGAAGGAGAAGAUGGAGUCUCUGAGUAGACAGAUAGCAGCUCUUUCAGACACAGUCAGAGCCACAGAGGAGCAGCUGAGAGCUGAAGACGUCUCAUUCCUGAUCAACUACAAGGCUGGCAGUGGAAAGAGUCCAGCAGCACCCCCCGGCUGGGUGAUCCACAGCUGCUCCCAGGAGCUCUGAUAGACGAGGCCAAACACCUGGGCAACCUGAGCUUCAACAUCUGGAACAAGAUGAAGGACUUAGUUUCCUACACACCUCUAAUUCUGGACCUAAACACUGCUUAUCCAAAAAACAUCCUGUCUUGAAGAUCUGACCAGUGUGAGACGAGGAGAACAGCAGCUCCCCGAUAAUCCAGAGAGAUUGGAUUACUACUGUGGUGUCCUGGGCUCUGAGGGCUUUAACUCAGGGACUCACAGCUGGGAUGCCGAUGUUGGAAACAAUACACUCUGGGAACUGGGUGUGUUAGCAGAGUCUAUCCAGAGGAAGGGAAAAAUACGGUCUGGAAUAUGGAGCAUAGUGUUCAUUAAAGGUAAAUACUUAGCACGGUCACAACCAGAUCCAGACACUGUUCUCGUGUGGGAAGAAUCCCCAGAGGGUCCAGUGACUCUGGACUGGAACAGAGGAAAGCUGUCGUUCUAUGAUCUUGGUACUAACACACUCAUACACACCUUCACACACACUUUCACUGAGAGGCUGUUUCCAUUGUUUGACACUAGGGGAAGUGAAGGUUUUACCACUGAAGGUCUGUGUGACUGUAGAACAGAAAUAGAUGAUGGUGAUGAACAUGAAUCAAGAAUCAGUUUAAUUCUGGGAUAAAAAACAACAACUUUUUAUAUUAAGAGUCAAAUAUUUUAUUAACAGCAAAUAUUAUAAACUGUCAAAAAUCAGUCUGUUUAUUUGUUUGUCUGUCAUCAGAAUAACAGAAUAAAUAUUGCCCCGAUUUUCAUCAUGUAACUUGGUGGAAGAGUGUAGCAUGGGCUGAUAUAAAAACCCAUUACAUUUUGAUCUGAAUCCGGGGCAGAUACACAAAUUAUUUAUUCAUUAACAUUGCGAGCUACAGCGUUUGUGUUGCAUUCAAGUGGUGUAGGAAUUAUUGGAAAAAAUAGUUCCUGACUGGGAAAAAUGACACUGCAUUAACAUUAUGAGAUAAAGCAUUCCUUGGGGAAGGUCUGUGCUCUCCGAGUGCUCUUCUAGCUAAACUUAUUAACCAUCCUGUUGUCCUCGGGUCAAAUUUGACCCAUUUUCAAAAAGUUUCUAUAUCAGAAAUGUGGUUUACUUUCAACCAAAUUUUAAAACAAAAUAACGUGGAUGGUUCCAUCACCGCUCUUCUCAAGUUAAAUAAAUGUUCAGUUCACAACUUUUAUUGACUUUGGGCGUUUUAUUCAAUUUUAUUAGCCUGACAAGCCAGACUGUUGUGUUUUCUGUGGAGUUGUUAUGUUAGAAAAGUUAUUUAUUGUUAUGCCUAAUUAAUUACAUCGAUCAAUCAAAUUGUUUACCUUAAACCAGAGCUAGUGACAUUUAUAGAAGAACGUUUGCGGUGUAGCAGCCAAAUAGAGUAGUGCCUCUUUAAGAGGAGUGUGCUGUGAGUACUAGGCUACAGGUGACCGGUGAUUACUCCGUGAAAAGGAAGCACGAGAUUCAUGCAGUCUGUGAUGACUGUCAACCCGGUGUGCAGCCACUUGGUUUAUUACCUGGUUUCCCUUUGUGAAUACAAGAAAUUAAACAAACAAAUGUGGAAUACCGAGGUAGAGCCAGUUGAGGUGGUUCGGGC